RNAcentral lists this ribosomal RNA (462 nucleotides) under uncultured bacterium. Its description in RNAcentral is "partial 16S ribosomal RNA". It matches the Rfam family "Bacterial small subunit ribosomal RNA", at positions 28 to 507 of the family's 1533-position model. The record is from RNAcentral.
GACGAACGCUGGCGGCGUGCUUAACACAUGCAAGUCGAACGGACAGGCCCUUCGCUGUCCUCGAUUACCUAACGGGCGGGUGACACGUGGGUAAUCUGCCCUGCUCCUUGUAAUAAUCCUGGGACACUGGGUCUCAUGCCCAAUAGGCGCACGCGCUUCUUAGUCGGAGGGGGAAAGAGUUUGCGGUGUGGGAUGGGCCCGAGGCCUAUCAGCUUGCUGGUGGGGUAAUGGCUUACCAAGGCGACGACUGGUAGGCGGCCUGAGAGGGUGACCGGCCACACUGGGACUGAGGUACGGACCAGACUCCUACGGGAGGCAGCAGUGGGGAAUAUUGCACAAUGGGCGCAAGCCUGAUGCAGCGACGCCGCGUGAGGGAUGACGGCCUUCGGGUUGUAAACCUCUUUCAAUAGGGACGAAGCGCAAGUGACGGUACCUAUAGAAGAAGCACCGGCCAACUACGUG